Molecule: long non-coding RNA, 3085 nt
Filed under: Citrus x clementina
Lineage: Eukaryota; Viridiplantae; Streptophyta; Magnoliopsida; Sapindales; Rutaceae
Description: Citrus clementina (C. clementina) long non-coding RNA (CCLE_LNC002559)
Source: RNAcentral
AAACCCAUAUAUUUAAAAAAAAAAAAAGAAGUUUUUUUUUUACUGCAUCUGGCCUUCAAAGUGCAAUUUGUAAUUUAUAAAAUCAGGCGCCGUCUUUGGAAAGGUCUAUCCAAAUAGACUGUUUUAAAGAUUGAAUAAGGGAAAAAGAUAAGGAAAAGGUCACAAUCAGUAGGGGAAGCGAGAUUCAAAGGCAUCAUAUGAUCAAGGAUUCAAGAUCAACAACUUGAUAAAGAAAGCAGGUCCAAGUGAAAUGAACGUGCGCUCGCCGAAUUUCUUGGAAGUUUCCUCGAUCUCCCCACGAGCUGUCAGUGUUGACCGACUAACAUGUAUCAAUCAGAUUAUGAUUUUUUUUUUUUACCCAAUGAGAAGAUCAGACUAUGAUAUGUUGUUGUUAUCCUUUUAUGGAUGGCAGUUCGUGGGAGUAUCAUUGCAACACCAAACAAACGUCCGCCUCUUUGCAAUAUGACUGAGUGGGUUUCAAUUAAUUUUAUUUUCAGUCAGUUUUAUUUAAUUGAUUAUUCUAAUUUAAAUUUUAAAUUAAGUAGAAGGUUAAAAAAUUAAUUUAAAUUUUAUCCAUAUUCUUUUUUUUGAAUAAAAAAAUCAAACAAAAAGCCCACACUAUGUCAGUAAUAAGACCCUUAUUACUAAAAAUCUUAAAAGAUUAUUUUUAAUUGGGUCUAAUCUUAUAUAACAGUUUCUAAUAUAUAAUUAUUUAUAUAUAAGUCCAACGUUAAAUUAAGAAUCCAAAAGUUGCUUCAAGGGCAAAUAUAAAACCCAAAGAAACUUUUAUAAUUUUCAUGGCUGGUAAAAAAUAAUUGAUAUUCUUUCUUUCAGAUAGGUUUUUUAAGUCCCAGUUUGUAACAGCAAUUAUGAAUAUGAUUUUGAGAAGUUGAGAACUAAACAUCAAUGUUUAUUUGAAAUUGAAAGGGAAAGUUUGAAUUAUCUACUGUGAAAUUGAAGAAUUAUGAGAGAAAGAGAAGUAGGGUUAUUAAGUAAUUUUAUCAAAAAUUAUUUUGAAAGUAAAAACCUAAAUUAAUGAGAGGGCUGAUGCUACAAUACCUGCAUGUAUCUGAUACAUGCAGGAAAAAUGGCCAUUGGAUUCAAAUAAUGAAUCCAACAGAUGAGAUGAAUUUAAAUAAUAAAUUUUUUUUUUUUUUUUGCAAAACCUGAAACCUAUAGAAUCGGUUAAUGAAUUAAUAAACAUGAAACUAGAUCAGGAAGAUUAUUUUGAUACUUGGACCAUUAAAUUUGAAACCAAAAGAACUUGAAACUUCGAGUAAUGAAUAUGAAAUUUGAUAUCAUUAACUUGCAAUCAUAAAAAUAAUCCAAUUAAUGGACCAAUAAACAUGAAACCAAGACCCUUAACUUGAUGUCGGGAUCAUUAAACUUGAAACCAAAUGAACUUGAAACUUAGUAUAAUGAACAUGAAACCUGCAAUCAUUAACUUGCGACCAUGAAAAUCAUCUAAUUAAUGGACCAAUAAACAUGAAACCAAGACCAUCAACUUGAUACAGGAACCAUUAAACUUGAAACCAAAUGAACUUGAAACUUAGGGCAAUGAACAUGAAAUCUGAGAUCAUUAACUUGCAAUCAUGAAACUCAUAUAAUUAAUGGACCAGUAAACAUGAAACUAAUACUAUUAACUUAAUACCGAAACCAUUAAACUUGAAACCAAAGGAACUUGAAACUUAGGACAAUGAACAUGAAAUCUGAGGUCAUUAACUUGCAACCAGGAAAAUCAUCAAAUUAAUGGACCAAUAAAUAUGAAACCAAGACCAUUAACUUGAUACUGGAACCAUUAAACUUGAAAUCAAAGGAACUUGAAACUUAGGGCAAUGGAGAUAAAAUCUGAUGUCAUUAACUUGCAAUCACGAAAAUCAUCCAAUUAAUGGACCAGUAAACAUGAAAUAAGGACCAUUAACUUGAUGUCUACGCCAUUAAACUUGAAAACAAAAGAACUUGAAACUUGGUGCAAUGAACAUGAAAUCGGAUAUCAUUAACUUGUAACCAUGAAAAUCAUCCAAUUAUUGGACCAAUAAACAUAAAACCAUGACCAUUAAACUUGAAACCAAAUGAACUUGAAACAUAAGGUAAUGAACAUGAAACUUGAGAUCAUUAACUUGCAACCAUGAAACUCAUCCAAUUAAUGGACCAAUAAAUAUGAAACCAUGACUAUUAACUUGAUGCCUACAUCAUUAAACUUGAAACCAAAGGAACUUGAAACGUGGUGCAAUGAACAUGAAACCGGAGAUCAUUAACUUGCAAACAUGAAAAUCAUCCAAUUAAUGGAUCAAUAAACAUGAAACUAUGACCAUUAACAUGAUGCCUACACCAUUAAACUUGAAACUAAAGGAACUUGAAAUAUAGAGCAAUGAACUUGAAACCUCAGAUCAUUAACUUGCAACCAUAAAAAUCAUCCAAUUAAUGGACCAAUAAAUAUGAAACCAGGACCAUGAACUUGAUACCAGAACCAUUAAACUUGAAACUCGAUUUUUAUUAUUAUAAAAAUGAUUUUUUAUUGUUAUGUGUCUUUUAAUAUUAAAAUAAUGAUUAUUUUAUUUAUUAUAUUUGAAUAUUAUUAUAUUUACUAUUAUUUAAUUCAUUUAAGGGGCAACCGGUGGCAAAAACCGGUUGCUCCCAUUUUUUUUUAAGUGUUUGAAUAAUGUUUUUUAAAUUUUUUUUAUUGCUUGCAUGUAUCACAUACAUGCAUGUAUUGUAGUUGUGCCCUAAUAAGAGGGAUUAGAGAGGAAACUUAUGGGUUCAAAUAGCUUCAACUAUCAAUUACUUUUCUUGAAACUUAUGUCGUGUUUGUUCUUUAAAAAAAAAAAAAACUGAAUGGGUCUGAAUGUGGUCUACAUAGGUUUGCAUACAUAUAUCUAAUAAUAAAUUUAUUUUUUUAUUUUUUGAUGUUUGAGUGUAAGUAGUAAAUUAUUUAUUUUCAUAAACCCAAAAUAUCUUAAAUCUAUUACUUUUACACUUCUGACCUUAAAAGUGCUAUAUAUAUAUGGAAUUUAAAAGUGGUAAGCUAUGUAGAACAAUAGUUUUUAUAUGUUAUAAAUAUUUAUAAGGUAAGCAUUUGAUAAAU